CUUCCGUAGGUGAACCUGCGGAAGGAUCAUUACGUAUGGUAGGCCGGUCUGACCGGUUCUAUUCAACCCUGUUUUUUGCGUACCCUUUGUUUCCUCGGCAGGCUUGCCUGCCCGUAGGACCUUUUUAACUCAUCAUGUCCAAAGCAAUCAGCGUCAAACAAACAAUACAAUGGUAACAACUUUCAACAACGGAUCUCUUGGUUCUGGCAUCGAUGAAGAACGCAGCGAAAUGCGAUAAGUAGUGUGAAUUGCAGAAUUCCGUGAAUCAUCGAAUCUUUGAACGCACAUUGCGCCUAUUGGUAUUCCAAUAGGCAUGCCUGUUCGAGCGUCAUUUAAGCCUUCAAGCAUUGCUUGGUGUUGGGUGUUGUCCGCGCGUGCGGACUCGCUUCAAAUGCAUUGGCAGUCAGCACUGGGGUUGUUGGAGCGCAGCACAUUUUGCGCUCUCAGCCACAGGUGCCGGCGUCCACAAAGCUUAUUUCAACGUUUGACCUCGGAUCAGGUAGGGAUACCCGCUGAACUUAAGCAUAUCAAUAAGCGGAGGAAA
RNAcentral lists this ribosomal RNA (544 nucleotides) under Pyrenochaeta sp. ZLY-2010b. Its description in RNAcentral is "eukaryotic LSU rRNA". The stretch from base 178 to 331 matches the Rfam family "5.8S ribosomal RNA". The record is from RNAcentral. Lineage: Eukaryota; Fungi; Ascomycota; Dothideomycetes; Pleosporales; Cucurbitariaceae.